This 468-nucleotide ribosomal RNA is filed under the name uncultured bacterium. Its description in RNAcentral is "partial 16S ribosomal RNA". It matches the Rfam family "Bacterial small subunit ribosomal RNA", at positions 28 to 507 of the family's 1533-position model. The record is from RNAcentral.
GACGAACGCUGGCGGCGUGCUUAACACAUGCAAGUCGAACGGAAAGGCCCUGCUUUUGUGGGCUGCUCGAGUGGCGAACGGGUGAGUGACACGUGAGUAACCUGCCCUAGACUUUGGGAUAACUUCAGGAAACUGGGGCUAAUACCGGAUAGGAGCUCCUCUUGCAUGGUGGGGGUUGGAAAGUUUCGGCGGUUGGGGAUGGACUCGCGGCUUAUCAGCUUGUUGGUUGGGUAGUGGCUUACCAAGCCAUUGGAGGGUAGCCGGCCUGGGAGGGUGACCGGCCACAUUGGGACUGAGGUACGGCCCAGACUCCUACGGGAGGCAGCAGUGGGGAGUAUUGUACAAUGGGCGGAAGCGUGAUGCAGCGACGUCGCGUGCGGGAAGACGGCCUUCGGGUUGUAAACCGCAUUCGCCUGUGACGAAGCGUGAGUGACGGUAAUGGGUAAAGAAGCACCGGCUAACUACGUG